RNAcentral lists this non-coding RNA (319 nucleotides) under Pseudoalteromonas citrea. Its description in RNAcentral is "bacterial SSU rRNA". It matches the Rfam family "Bacterial small subunit ribosomal RNA", at positions 488 to 806 of the family's 1533-position model. The record is from RNAcentral. Lineage: Bacteria; Pseudomonadati; Pseudomonadota; Gammaproteobacteria; Alteromonadales; Pseudoalteromonadaceae.
AAGGAUCGGCUAACUCCGUGCCAGCAGCCGCGGUAAUACGGAGGAUCCAAGCGUUAUCCGGAAUCAUUGGGUUUAAAGGGUCCGUAGGCGGUUUUAUAAGUCAGUGGUGAAAUCCGGCAGCUCAACUGUCGAACUGCCAUUGAUACUGUAGAACUUGAAUUAUUAUGAAGUAACUAGAAUAUGUAGUGUAGCGGUGAAAUGCUUAGAGAUUACAUGGAAUACCAAUUGCGAAGGCAGGUUACUAAUAAUACAUUGACGCUGAUGGACGAAAGCGUGGGGAGCGAACAGGAUUAGAUACCCUGGUAGUCCACGCCGUAAA